ACCUGGCUGGCUCAGUCGGUGGAGCAUGUGACUCUUGAUCUUGGGGUUGUGAGUUCAAGGCCCAUGUUGGGUG
Molecule: transfer RNA, 73 nt
Filed under: Felis catus (domestic cat)
Lineage: Eukaryota; Metazoa; Chordata; Mammalia; Carnivora; Felidae
Rfam family: tRNA
About the family: Transfer RNA (tRNA) molecules are approximately 80 nucleotides in length. Their secondary structure includes four short double-helical elements and three loops (D, anti-codon, and T loops). Further hydrogen bonds mediate the characteristic L-shaped molecular structure. tRNAs have two regions of fundamental functional importance: the anti-codon, which is responsible for specific mRNA codon recognition, and the 3' end, to which the tRNAs corresponding amino acid is attached (by aminoacyl-tRNA synthetases). tRNAs cope with the degeneracy of the genetic code in two manners: having more than one tRNA (with a specific anti-codon) for a particular amino acid; and 'wobble' base-pairing, i.e. permitting non-standard base-pairing at the 3rd anti-codon position.
Source: Rfam by way of RNAcentral